This 3652-nucleotide long non-coding RNA is filed under the name Homo sapiens (human). RNAcentral describes it as "non-protein coding lnc-POLR1A-6:1". The record is from RNAcentral. Lineage: Eukaryota; Metazoa; Chordata; Mammalia; Primates; Hominidae.
AAGGAACGGUUUCAGAUUAAAGAAGGCUAAAGGAACAUAACAGUGAAUGCCAAAUGAUCCUGGACUGGACCCUGUAACAGAAAAUAAGAAAAUGACAUAUAUUCUUGCUAUUUUUGUUCUAAGGCCAUCACUGGGACUAAUGGAGAAAUUUAUAUAAGGUAUUUAGGUAACAGUACUGAAUCAGUGUUAAUUUCCUAAUUAUGAUUAUGCUGUGGUUGUUUAAAGGGGAUGUCUUUGUUUUUAGGAAAUACUAAAAUAUUUAGGGGUAGGUGUCAUCAUGUCUUCAAGUUUCAAAUGGUCCAAUAAAUAUGCACACAGUAUACCAAUGGAAUGGCAGCACAAAUGUGGUAAAAUGGUAACAACUGGGGAGUCUGGUUAAAGGGCAGAUGGAAAUUCUUUAUGCUGUUUUUGCAACUUUAAGUUUGAAAUUAUUUCAAGAUAAAGUUUAAAAACUGCAGCCUCCAGGUCUUGGGUGCUGUGGCCAGUCUAGCAUCAGAAGCCACCAUAGGGCUUUUCAGUGUCUGCCCUUUCCGUGGUCAUUAUAGAAGUCACGCCCACAGCACUGAGCUUUCUUGCAGAAUUUGUUUUGUCUCCUCUGGUACCAUCAGGAAACAGUGUAGAGGGUCGGGCGUGGUGGCUCACACCUCCCAGCACUUUGGGAGGCUGAGGUGGGCAGAUCACUUGAGGUCAGGAGUUCAAGACCAGCCUGGCCAACAAGGUGAAACCCCGUCUCUACUAAAAAUACAAAAAUUAGCUGGGUGCGGUGGCACGCACCUAUAAUCCCAGCUACUCUGGAGGUUGAGGCAGGAGAAUCCCUUGAAACCUGGGAGGCGGAGGUUGCGGCGCCGAGAUCAUGCCACCUCACUGCAGCCUGGGCAACAGAGUGAGACUCCGUCUCAAAAAAAAAAAAAAAAAAAGGAAAAAGAAAAAGAAAAGAAAACAGGGUGGAGGAACACUUAACAGUGUGGCUUUGCUGAACCUGAAGGUUCCUUCCAGCCCCCAACCACCCAUUGCCACUGCUAUUUUAGGGGACUGCAGUCCUUGUAGCUGUCCUCAGGCAUCUGGUCAACCAACUCUGACCCAUACAUUUACCUGGUUUAGACUAGCCCUACAGCUGCCCCUGAAAGAGGCUUCCCAGGCAGAAUAUAAGUUUUAAAAUAUAUUUAAACACAUUUGAGGGUGUUUAUGCCCAGAGAUCAGUGCACUUCACCAGGGUGCUUUGGUGGACCUCUUGGAGGGUGCAUUUUACCCAAAUCCUCAGCAUUUGCCAGUUAAAGAUGGGUCUCUCCACUACCUUGACAGAACUCAGGUUGUAUGUUUUGGCAGAAAUCACGAAUUUAUUAUGUCCUGCAUGAUGAAGAGGGUCCUUCCUCAGCCCCACUUUUAAAACCUAGUUUAGGGCAACCUUCUACGCUUCUGGCUGGAACCUCUCCUGUGGGGAGGGGAGCAGGCGGCAGGUCUUGGAAUCAGAGGAGGAUCUCUGAGGUGCUGCCUGUAAUCGCUUUGUGGGUAGGUCUGCUUAUAAGAAUUCGCAAAGAGGAGUUCCUCUGAAACUCCCUAGCCCCGGGAAACAGAAAGAAGAACAGUGCUGGGGCUUCUCUUCCUGUUCCUGUCUUUUCCUUCCAGUUCCCCCUUCCCAGAAUUUCCUGUCUCUCAACCUCCACUCUGUUUUCUCCGCCCCAGUGUUCCCCCACUCUCUUUCAUUUUUAUUGUCUUAAAUCCACUUCUCCCACUUAUUCCAGCUUUCUGGUUUUCUCCCCUAGAUGGCUAUAACAUAUUAGCAUCAAUUGAGUAAGCUAAGCUUCAUGUUUCUUGUUCUUCCUUUGAAAUGUAGAUGAGUGAGAAUCGUAACAUUUUAUUGGAGGAAGGAGCCAUAGAAAUGUUGUCACCCAACCCUGCUUUCUACAGAUUACCAAACAUCCUCAAAGAGAUUGAGUGAUUUGGCUGUUAUCAAAUAGCCAAACAGUUGAGUAUUUCAUCUCUUUGCUCUUCUCUUUAAAAAAAAAAAAAAAAAAAAUCAGGCAAGUGUGGUAACUCACGCCUGCAAAUUCCAGUACUUUGGGAGGCUGAGGUGGGAGGAUUGCUUGGGGCCAGGGGUUUGAGACCAGCCUGGGCAAUAAAGCUUAGACUCUAUCUCUACAAAAAAAUUAAAAAUGUAGCCGGGUGUGGUGGUAUACACCUAUCGUCCUAGCUACGGGAGGCUGAGGCAGAAGGAUCACUUGAGCCUAGGAGUUCGAGGUUACACUGAGCUGUGAUCACGCCACUGCACUCCAGCCUGGCUGACAGAGCGAGACCUUGUCUCAAAAACAACAACAAAAAGAUCCGUUUGCCAUUUUCUUCCAUGGUGGGGGGGAGACAGUCAUUUUAUAUUGUUCCCCUAGCCUCCCCUCAACAAACACAUAUGGUGGGUCUUGUUUGAAAAAGUAUCUCAAUCCCUGUUUUCCAUCUGCCUGGUGCCAUCUGGACAUUGAAUAAAUGCCCAAUGAUUAUGAUACUUGGACACCUGGAAGGUCUGGUCUUCACAGUGGUCUCUUGUUAGGACCGUGGUGAAUUUGGGUUAACUUUGUGUGGGGAUCUAGUUGCAGGCCACUGAUCAUUCAUUCUUCUGUUCAUUCACUCUGCAGGUGCUUGUUAAAUGCCUUUUAUAUGCGAGGUACUUUUUAGGUUCCUGGAUUACAGCAGCGAACAAAAUGGACACAGUCCCUAAGCUGGGAGUCUUAUAUUUUAGUAGGGAGAGCAGAGAAUAGGCAAAUAUGUAUCAGUGGCAAUGAAUGCUAUGAAGUAAAGCAGGAAAGUGAGGGGGUGGAAGUCGUGUUUUACAGAGGGUGGUCAAGGAAGGCAACUUUUGAAUGAAAACCAGAACGGAGAUGGUGGGGAGGGAGCCAUCCAGAGAGGCAGCAGAGGAAGGGCAAGUCGAGCACGAGGCCCCCUUGGUUGACAUGGAGUGAGGAGGAGAGUGUGAGAUAGGUGGAAGCGGAACUGGGCUCUGAGAGUAACUGCCCUCUUGACAUCUUUACCUCUUCAGUAAAGUCUUGGAGAAAUCCCAUCGUGCGUGCUGGGAACAUUAUAGUUUUAGAGAAUGUUCAUAUAGUCCAAGGGCUCAGAAUUAAUUGCCUUAACACUUUUACAUUUAUAAAAAGCAGGCAAUUGAAUGACAGUAAUGAUGUGUUCUCAACACUAGAGGAAUAGUAGAUUUGAAGUAGAUUAAAAAGCACGAGAAUCACUGAAGUGCUUGCAUCUUGGUUGAUGGUCAAAAUUAGUACAGUAUUGAUUGUGCGUUCACACAGCAACAUUUUAAUUUUUUUCAUUGCAGAAGGUAGGUCCUCAUAACUCUGCUCAGUUUGUAGGAGAAUCUGAAAAUAUGUAGGCUAAAAAUCUGUUGUUAAUUACACGGCUUUCCUCCAGCUGUGAGAAACUUGCUGGUGGGCAGGAUUUCUCAAAGUGCUGCACCCACAUAACACUGGGGAACUUGGUUAACAUGCACAGUCAGCAUCCUCACCUGGACCUACCACCAGGGGGGACAUUCUGGGGAUGAAGUGUGGGAAUCUGUAUGCUUUGCAGCCUCUUCCAGUGGUUGUUUUUUUGUUUUGUUUUUUUGUUUUCUCCUGAUGCUCCAGCUAAGGUCCCUCCUGGGGCGUCAGGCCUGGUUCUU